GAGGGGGACAACAGCCGGAAACGGCUGCUAAUACCCCAUAGGCUGGGGAGCAAAAGGGAGGAAUCCCGCCCAAGGAGGGGCUUGCGUCUGAUUAGCUAGUUGGUGGGGCAAUGGCUUACCAAGGCAACGAUCAGUAGCUGGUCUGAGAGGAUGAUCAGCCACACUGGGACUGAGACACGGCCCAGACUCCUACGGGAGGCAGCAGUGGGGAAUUUUCCGCAUUGGGCGAAAGCCUGACGGAGCAAUGCCGCG
This 252-nucleotide ribosomal RNA is filed under the name uncultured organism. RNAcentral's name for it is "partial 16S ribosomal RNA". It matches the Rfam family "Bacterial small subunit ribosomal RNA", at positions 136 to 401 of the family's 1533-position model. The record is from RNAcentral.